GGUCAGGCCUUGGGCUAACGUAGGCACUCGCAGUUCCUCCGCCUUCAGGAAGGUCUUUUUAGCAGGGGCCUUACGGGUGCGCGCUUCGGUCCUGGAGGCCUUAUCCUAGCCUCCUCUCUCCAUCAGCGCCACCCGUCUGGGGCCCAAAAGGAGGGAGCUUUACCUCUGUCCCCCAGCCUUUGGAGUGUCACCAAACAAGCCAUUCGUUCACCAAAUACUUAUUAAGUGCCUGACAACGGAGAUGUAACGCUUCCAAGGCGAUCGAUCGGGCAGUGUCGGUCUGCAGCUGCUAAGCCAAGAAGAUCUGGAAAGGAGUCAGUCAGAGAGCCUUGGGCUCUGGGAGUGGUGCC
Molecule: long non-coding RNA, 350 nt
Filed under: Homo sapiens (human)
Lineage: Eukaryota; Metazoa; Chordata; Mammalia; Primates; Hominidae
Description: non-protein coding LINC02021:9
Source: RNAcentral